Long non-coding RNA from Olea europaea var. sylvestris, 834 nucleotides. RefSeq lists it as uncharacterized. The record is from RefSeq and is a predicted model, not a curated record. The transcript has 3 exons. Lineage: Eukaryota; Viridiplantae; Streptophyta; Magnoliopsida; Lamiales; Oleaceae.
AAAUUUAAGGGAAAAAAUGAUUGCCUAGAGAGAGAUACCUCCUUUCUAAUCGAAAAAUUUUAUUCCAACAAUUUUUCUGAAUGCACUGUUACUGCCAGAGAAUGAGCAGUGAUGGCAACUUGGUUUUUCUUUCAAUUACUUGUUUGUACAACCACUUUGUGGACACAUGUUGCUUUUUAAUCAGAUCUUUGCAAUGCAAUUGCUGCUACUAAUUAAACAUAAUGCAUUUACCAUGAUAUUAAAUAUUUGAGUACAAUGGAAACUUUAAAUCGAGCUGCUCUGCCUAGUUAAUUUCAAUAAGGCUCGAGUAAGGGUGGUAACCUUUUAUAGCUUCUAAAAAUCUAGUAUUUUGAAAAACUGCACGACCAAACAACAUGGUCUAAACAGAGAGGUUCUCUAGAGAUAUGCAUGUGGGAGUUGUUUAGGCCUCUUUGCAUAUUGUUUGAUGAUGGCCUGGAUAAACAAAAGUAGGAAAAUAGCUGAUGUUGCUAAUUCGUAGUUCUUAGGUGCAAAAUGACCAACAUGGUUUUAGUUUGUGGCGCCUUUCCAUGAAAAAGAGAACUAAGUUCAAGGAUUGCAUUACUCUAGCCAUACUGAUAUGCAGCGCUCUGAUUUAGGCUAAAUAUACUUGCCGAACUUCUCCGCUUUGGUGAUCGUGAGUUCUAUAAAGAUUGGUGGAAUGCAAAAACAGUUGAGGAGUAUUGGAGACUGUGGAAUAUGCCUGUUCACAAAUGGAUGGUCCGACAUAUAUAUUUCCCAUGCUUAAGGAACGGGAUACCUAAGGUAAAUUGACUCUCACUUUUAAACUGCAAGCAUUUUAUUUUUUUUUUUGUU